AUACGUAGGUGACAAGCGUUAUCCGGAUUUACUGGGCGUAAAGGGCGUGUAGGCGGUCUUGCAAGUCAGAAGUGAAAUUCCUGAGCUCAACUCGGGCGCUGCUUCUGAAACUGCAGGACUUGAGUGCUGGAGGGGAUAGCGGAAUUCCUAGUGGAGCGGUAAAAUGCGCAGAUAUUAGGAAGAACACCGGUGGCGAAGGCGGCUAGCUGGACAGUAACUGACGCUGAGGCGCGAAAGCGUGGGGAGCAAACAGGAUUAGAUGCCCUGGUAGUCCACGCCGUAAACGAUGAAUACUAGGUGUAGGGGGUAUCGACUCCCUCUGUGCCGCAGUUAACACAAUAAGUAUUCCGCCUGGGGAGUACGGCCGCAAGGUUGAAACUCAAAUGAAUUGACGGGG
This 397-nucleotide ribosomal RNA is filed under the name uncultured bacterium. Its description in RNAcentral is "partial 16S ribosomal RNA". It matches the Rfam family "Bacterial small subunit ribosomal RNA", at positions 523 to 918 of the family's 1533-position model. The record is from RNAcentral.